Molecule: unclassified non-coding RNA, 219 nt
Filed under: Hevea brasiliensis (rubber tree)
Lineage: Eukaryota; Viridiplantae; Streptophyta; Magnoliopsida; Malpighiales; Euphorbiaceae
Source: RNAcentral
GAACCAUCAUGCCCAUCCUGUUCCUCAUCCUUGGCACUUCCCAAAUCAUCCCAGAGCCGAAGAAUUGUAGCUGAAGAAGAUAUUAUGCCAGGAUUAUUGUCAAUGAACUCCACAGCUUCGCUGGAUACACCAUAACCCAGUAGAAAGAAAAUGUGAACAAGAACUACAUGUACACCUGAACUUACAAUCCCAUUCUCCAGGUACUCUCCAGCACUUGGC